GGGUUGUGAGGUUAAGCGACUAAGCGUACACGGUGGAUGCCCUGGCAGUCAGAGGCGAUGAAGGGCGUGCUAAUCUGCGAUAAGCGCCGGUAAGGUGAUAUGAACCGUUAUAACCGGCGAUACCCGAAUGGGGAAACCCAGUGUGACUCGUCACACUAUCAUUAACUGAAUCCAUAGGUUAAUGAGGCGAACCGGGGGAACUGAAACAUCUAAGUACCCCGAGGAAAAGAAAUCAACCGAGAUUCCCCCAGUAGCGGCGAGCGAACGGGGAGGAGCCCAGAGCCUGAAUCAGCAUGUGUGUUAGUGGAAGCGUCUGGAAAGGCGCGCGAUACAGGGUGACAGCCCCGUACACAAAAGCGCAUGUGCUGUGAGCUCGAUGAGUAGGGCGGGACACGUGGUAUCCUGUCUGAAUAUGGGGGGACCAUCCUCCAAGGCUAAAUACUCCUGACUGACCGAUAGUGAACCAGUACCGUGAGGGAAAGGCGAAAAGAACCCCGGCGAGGGGAGUGAAAAAGAACCUGAAACCGUGUACGUACAAGCAGUGGGAGCCCCACCACCAAAGCAUUUGCUGUACCGCGUUGAC
This 583-nucleotide ribosomal RNA is filed under the name Salmonella enterica subsp. enterica serovar Enteritidis. RNAcentral describes it as "partial 23S ribosomal RNA". It matches the Rfam family "Bacterial large subunit ribosomal RNA", at positions 1 to 588 of the family's 2925-position model. The record is from RNAcentral. Lineage: Bacteria; Pseudomonadati; Pseudomonadota; Gammaproteobacteria; Enterobacterales; Enterobacteriaceae.